RNAcentral lists this ribosomal RNA (206 nucleotides) under uncultured bacterium. Its description in RNAcentral is "partial 16S ribosomal RNA". It matches the Rfam family "Bacterial small subunit ribosomal RNA", at positions 568 to 774 of the family's 1533-position model. The record is from RNAcentral.
CGUGUAGGCGGUCCGGUAAGUCCGCUGUGAAAGUCGGGGGCUUAACCCUCGGAUGCCGGUGGAUACUGUCGGGCUUGAGUACGGAAGAGGCGAGUGGAAUUCCUGGUGUAGCGGUGAAAUGCGCAGAUAUCAGGAGGAACACCAAUUGCGAAGGCAGCUCGCUGGGACGUUACUGACGCUGAGACGCGAAAGCGUGGGAGCAAACA